This 198-nucleotide ribosomal RNA is filed under the name uncultured bacterium. Its description in RNAcentral is "partial 16S ribosomal RNA". It matches the Rfam family "Bacterial small subunit ribosomal RNA", at positions 1295 to 1500 of the family's 1533-position model. The record is from RNAcentral.
GGACUGGAGUCUGCAACCCGACUCCACGAAGCUGGAUUCGCUAGUAAUCGCGCAUCAGCCACGGCGCGGUGAAUACGUUCCCGGGCCUUGUACACACCGCCCGUCAAGCCAUGGAAGCCGGGAGUGCCUGAAGUACGCGACCGCAAGGAGCGUCCUAAGGUAAAACCGGUGACUGGGGCUAAGUCGUAACAAGGUAGC